This 255-nucleotide ribosomal RNA is filed under the name Triticum aestivum (bread wheat). Its description in RNAcentral is "partial small subunit ribosomal RNA". Lineage: Eukaryota; Viridiplantae; Streptophyta; Magnoliopsida; Poales; Poaceae. The record is from RNAcentral.
AUGACCGAGGGCAACUCGCUCGGCAUAGCUAGGGGGCUAUGGAAGGUGGCCCUGCCACUCAAAAUCAAAACCUUUAUGUGGCAAAUGUUUCGAAACCGAUUGCCGACAACGGAUAACAUGGCCAAACGCAAAGGACCAGUUGAUGGUUCUUGUGCCGUUUGCAGACUAGGGGAGAACGCAAACCAUGUUUUCUUUAGCUGCGUUCUAGCUAGAUUUGCGUGGAGCGCCGUUCGGAAAAUGUUCAGUCAAAACUAA